CCUGCGCAUGCGUGAUACUUGCACCGGUCGAGAUGGUAGCAUGAGUCUGGAGGUCAUUUUCUUUGAGAAAGGCUCCGCUUCUCCGGGUUUUUGCUGAUGCCGAUCCCGGGGGAUUGAGGAAACAUUGAGCUCUGGAGUGGAAAAGAUCACUAAAAAGCUUCUCCUUGAAAAAUACUCAGAAGAUGCAACACACACACACACACACGUGUGUGCACUUACACACGCGGACACCGUCUCACAUCAUCAGUGGGAAAAGUGAUAGAAUCUUGCUAAAGGCUGAUCAUACCAUAUUAAUCCGAUUCGCCAGAACUACUUUCUUCACUGAGCUCUCAGCCUGCUCCCAACCAGGUGUCUCCAGAACUUUUUCUCUCCGCCACCAACUCCGCCUCCAGACAGACCGCAGGUGCUUUCUGUCAUAGGGACUGGCGUGCCGCGGACAGUGUGACAAAGAAACUGUAUGAUGGAUAUGAGAACUUCGUAAGACCCAGCAGCAAACGGGGAGCGGCUGGCGAGCGCUCCACAGCCCCCAAGCGUGGGAGCUCUAGAUCGGAAUUUGUAAUUUGGA
RNAcentral lists this long non-coding RNA (565 nucleotides) under Homo sapiens (human). Its description in RNAcentral is "non-protein coding lnc-CLYBL-10:2". Lineage: Eukaryota; Metazoa; Chordata; Mammalia; Primates; Hominidae. The record is from RNAcentral.